CCCCUCUCAGGGUCACACCUGGAGAGUUUCCAGUACUCUACCAGUCUUGACUAGAGGAGGGAUAGUCAAGCAAAGGCAUAUCCAUUCCAUUCCUUGCUUGGGCAGUGGCUAACGAGUGGAAAGCAAUCUGCUACACGU
Tachyglossus aculeatus (Australian echidna) is the source of this 138-nucleotide small nucleolar RNA. Lineage: Eukaryota; Metazoa; Chordata; Mammalia; Monotremata; Tachyglossidae. The record is from RefSeq and is a predicted model, not a curated record.